UACGGAGGAUCCAAGCGUUAUCCGGAUUUAUUGGGUUUAAAGGGUGCGUAGGCGGCGUUGUAAGUCAGUGGUGAAAGUUUUCAGCUUAACUGGAAAAUUGCCAUUGAUACUGCAGUGCUUGAGUACAGAUGAGGUGGGCGGAAUGUGUCAUGUAGCGGUGAAAUGCAUAGAUAUGACACAGAACACCGAUUGCGAAGGCAGCUCACUAAACUGUAACUGACGCUGAGGCACGAAAGCGUGGGGAUCAAACAGG
Molecule: ribosomal RNA, 253 nt
Filed under: uncultured bacterium
Lineage: Bacteria
Description: partial 16S ribosomal RNA
Rfam family: Bacterial small subunit ribosomal RNA
Source: RNAcentral